Molecule: ribosomal RNA, 253 nt
Filed under: uncultured bacterium
Lineage: Bacteria
Description: partial 16S ribosomal RNA
Rfam family: Bacterial small subunit ribosomal RNA
Source: RNAcentral
UACGUAGGGGCCGAGCGUUGUCCGGAGUUAUUGGGCGUAAAGCGCGCGCAGGCGGCCUCGCGCGCCCGACGUGAAAGCCCCCGGCUUAACCGGGGAGGGUCGUUGGGGACGGCGGGGCUUGAGGGCGGGAGAGGUCGGUGGAAUUCCCGGUGUAGUGGUGAAAUGCGUAGAGAUCGGGAGGAACACCUGUGGCGAAGGCGGCCGACUGGGCCGACCCUGACGCUGAGGCGCGAAGGCGUGGGGAGCAAACGGG